GAUGAACGCUGGCGGCGUGCCUAAUACAUGCAAGUCGAGCGAACAGACGAGGAGCUUGCUCCUCUGACGUUAGCGGCGGACGGGUGAGUAACACGUGGAUAACCUACCUAUCAGACUGGGAUAACUUCGGGAAACCGGAGCUAAUACCGGAUAAUAUAUUGAACCGCAUGGUUCAAUAGUGAAAGACGGUUUUGCUGUCACUUAUAGAUGGAUCCGCGCCGCAUUAGCUAGUUGGUAAGGUAACGGCUUACCAAGGCAACGAUGCGUAGCCGAACUGAGAGGGUGAUCGGCCACACUGGAACUGAGACACGGUCCAGACUCCUACGGGAGGCAGCAGUAGGGAAUCUUCCGCAAUGGGCGAAAGCCUGACGGAGCAACGCCGCGUGAGUGAUGAAGGUCUUCGGAUCGUAAAACCCUGUUAUUAGGGAAGAACAAAUGUGUAAGUAACUAUGCACGUCUUGACGGUACCUAAUCAGAAAGCCACGGCUAACUACGUG
This 497-nucleotide ribosomal RNA is filed under the name uncultured bacterium. RNAcentral describes it as "partial 16S ribosomal RNA". It matches the Rfam family "Bacterial small subunit ribosomal RNA", at positions 28 to 507 of the family's 1533-position model. The record is from RNAcentral.